Molecule: ribosomal RNA, 490 nt
Filed under: uncultured archaeon
Lineage: Archaea
Description: bacterial SSU rRNA
Rfam family: Archaeal small subunit ribosomal RNA
Source: RNAcentral
AAAGCGUCCGUAGCCGGUUUAAUAAGUCUCUGGUGAAAUCCUGCAGCUUAACUGUGGGAAUUGCUGGAGAUACUAUUAGACUUGAGACCGGGAGAGGUUAGAGGUACUCCCAGGGUAGAGGUGAAAUUCUGUAAUCCUGGGAGGACCGCCUGUUGCGAAGGCGUCUAACUGGAAACGGUUCUGACGGUGAGGGACGAAAGUUAGGGGCGCGAACCGGAUUAGAUACCCGGGUAGUCCUAAACUGUAAACGAUGCGGACUUGGUGUUGGGGUGGCUUUGAGCUGCUUCAGUGCCGAAGGGAAGCUGUUAAGUCCGCCGCCUGGGGAAGUACGGUCGCAAGACUGAAACUUAAAGGAGUUGGCGGGGGAGCACCACAACGCGUGGAGCCUGCCGGUUUAAUUGGAUUCAACGCCGGACAUCUCACCAGAGGCGACAGCUGUAUGAUAGCCAGGUUGAUGACUUUGCUUGACUAGCUGAGUGGAGGUGCAUGG